AGAGGUGUAGCUCAGUGGUAGAGUGCUGGCCAAGUGUGUGUGAGACCCUGGGUUUGAUUCCCAACACCACAA
Molecule: transfer RNA, 72 nt
Filed under: Heterocephalus glaber (naked mole-rat)
Lineage: Eukaryota; Metazoa; Chordata; Mammalia; Rodentia; Bathyergidae
Rfam family: tRNA
About the family: Transfer RNA (tRNA) molecules are approximately 80 nucleotides in length. Their secondary structure includes four short double-helical elements and three loops (D, anti-codon, and T loops). Further hydrogen bonds mediate the characteristic L-shaped molecular structure. tRNAs have two regions of fundamental functional importance: the anti-codon, which is responsible for specific mRNA codon recognition, and the 3' end, to which the tRNAs corresponding amino acid is attached (by aminoacyl-tRNA synthetases). tRNAs cope with the degeneracy of the genetic code in two manners: having more than one tRNA (with a specific anti-codon) for a particular amino acid; and 'wobble' base-pairing, i.e. permitting non-standard base-pairing at the 3rd anti-codon position.
Source: Rfam by way of RNAcentral